Molecule: ribosomal RNA, 459 nt
Filed under: uncultured bacterium
Lineage: Bacteria
Description: partial 16S ribosomal RNA
Rfam family: Bacterial small subunit ribosomal RNA
Source: RNAcentral
CCUACGGGAGGCAGCAGUGAGGAAUAUUGGGCAAUGGACGAGAGUCUGAACCAGUCAAGUAGCGUGAAGGAUGACUGCCCUAUGGGUGUUAAACUUCGUUUAUAAAGGAAUAAAACGAGGCACGUGUGCGUUUUUGCAUGUACUUUAUGAAUAAGGAUCGGCUAACUCCGUGCCAGCAGACGCGGUAAUACGGGGGAUCCGGGCGAUACCCGGAUUUGUGGGGUUUAAAGGGUGCGUAGGCGGAUUGUUAAGUCAGCGGUAAAAGCCCGGGGCUCAACCCCGGCGAGCCGUUGAAACUGGAUGUCUUGAGAUGUCGAGAGGUAUGUGGAAUGCGAAGUGUAGCGGUGAAAUGCGCAGAGAUUGCGCAGAACUCCGAUUGCGAAGGCAGCAUACCGGCGGCGAUCUGACGCUGAGGUACGAAAGCGUGGGUAUCGAACAGGAUUAGAUACCCUUGUAGUC